Molecule: ribosomal RNA, 387 nt
Filed under: uncultured soil bacterium
Lineage: Bacteria
Description: bacterial SSU rRNA
Rfam family: Bacterial small subunit ribosomal RNA
Source: RNAcentral
AGAACGAACGCUGGCGGCAUGCCUAAUACAUGCAAGUCGAACGAACUCUUCGGAGUUAGUGGCGCACGGGUGCGUAACGCGUGGGAAUCUGCCCCUUGGUUCGGAAUAACAGUUGGAAACGACUGCUAAUACCGGAUGAUGACGAAAGUCCAAAGAUUUAUCGCCAAGGGAUGAGCCCGCGUAGGAUUAGCUAGUUGGUGAGGUAAAGGCUCAACCAAGGCAACGAUCCUUAGCUGGUCUGAGUAGGAUGAUCAGCCACAACUGGGACUGAGACACGGCCCAGACUCCGUACGGAGGCAGCAGGUAGGGAAUACUUAGGACAAGUGGACGAAAGCCUAGAUCCAGCAAUGCGCGUGAGUGAUGAAGGCUUAGGGUUGUAAAGCUUAC